RNAcentral lists this unclassified non-coding RNA (332 nucleotides) under soil metagenome. Its description in RNAcentral is "partial contains 5.8S ribosomal RNA, internal transcribed spacer 2, and large subunit ribosomal RNA". The stretch from base 1 to 120 matches the Rfam family "5.8S ribosomal RNA", at positions 35 to 154 of the family's 154-position model. The record is from RNAcentral.
GAUGAAGAACGUAGCGAAAUGCGAUAAGUAGUGUGAAUUGCAGAAUUCAGUGAAUCAUCGAAUCUUUGAACGCACAUUGCGCCCUUUGGUAUUCCUUAGGGCAUGCCUGUUCGAGCGUCAUUUAAACCUUCAAGCUCAGCUUGGUGUUGGGUGACUGUCCGCUUCACCGCGGACUCGCCUCAAAAUUAUUGGCGGCCGGUACAUUGGCUUCGAGCGCAGCAGAAACGCGAACUCGGGCCCGUCGUAUUGGCUCCCAGAAGCUAUCUUCACAAUUUUGACCUCGAAUCAGGUAGGGAUACCCGCUGAACUUAAGCAUAUCAAUAAGCGGAGGA